RNAcentral lists this ribosomal RNA (532 nucleotides) under uncultured bacterium. RNAcentral's name for it is "bacterial SSU rRNA". It matches the Rfam family "Bacterial small subunit ribosomal RNA", at positions 777 to 1308 of the family's 1533-position model. The record is from RNAcentral.
AAUAGAUACCCCGGUAGUCCACGCCGUAAACGAUGAGUGCUAAGUGUUAGGGGGUUUCCGCCCCUUAGUGCUGCAGCUAACGCAUUAAGCACUCCGCCUGGGGAGUACGGUCGCAAGACUGAAACUCAAAGGAAUUGACGGGGGCCCGCACAAGCGGUGGAGCAUGUGGUUUAAUUCGAAGCAACGCGAAGAACCUUACCAGGUCUUGACAUCCCGCCGACCGCUAUGGAGACAUAGCUUUCCCUUCGGGGACAGCGGUGACAGGUGGUGCAUGGUUGUCGUCAGCUCGUGUCGUGAGAUGUUGGGUUAAGUCCCGCAACGAGCGCAACCCUUGUCCUUAGUUGCCAUCAUUCAGUUGGGCACUCUAAGGAGACUGCCGUACAAAUACGGAGGAAGGUGGGGAUGACGUCAAAUCAUCAUGCCCCUUAUGACCUGGGCUACACACGUGCUACAAUGGACGGUACAAACGGUUGCGAAGUCGCGAGACGGAGCCAAUCCGAGAAAGCCGUUCUCAGUUCGGAUUGCAGGCUGC